Molecule: long non-coding RNA, 1071 nt
Filed under: Suricata suricatta (meerkat)
Lineage: Eukaryota; Metazoa; Chordata; Mammalia; Carnivora; Herpestidae
Description: lncRNA (ENSSSUG00005004217.1)
Source: RNAcentral
GGGUAGGGAGGGCCCUCCUUGGGGCGUCAGGGUGGGAAGCCUGGCCAGCAGGGGGCACCCAGGCAGGACGCCCCCGCCUGCCCCCGCCCUGCUGCUGGCAGCACACAGGCCGCAGAUGGCCUUGGCCGGCCCUCAUUGGCAUGCCUACAGGUGUGGGGUGGACGGCUCCAGUGCCAGCCCCGAGGGGGGUGCUGUGACUCAGCCAGCCUGUACCUUUUAGUGUGCCAACCCACGGACCAGCCAUGGCUCCUGGGCCUACCCCUCAACACAGAGACGGUCUUAGCUUGAAGCCCCUCACCUCUUCCAACUUGGGCCCUUGUGCUCUGCUUGUGGAAAUGGCUCACCCCUGCUGCUCUCCUGCUGAUGCUGACGGAGAAGGACUUAGAGGCAGGCUCCCUGUGGAGCUGUAUGUCCAAUUCCCCUCCCUAGGGGUGCCUUCCGAUCCCCACUGCUACAGUUGGGAGCCUGACUUCCUGGUGACCUGAGAGCUUGCAGCCCAUGCUGUCCUUUCCUCCACCUGGAUGGCAGGGGUGGCUGGGGGUACACCUGAGGCUCGAGAUAAACCCAGCCUCCAUGUAGCUCUGUGUGUGUGUGUGUGUGUGUGUGUGUGUGUGUGUGUGUGUGUGUGUUUGAGUGAGCACGAGAGAGAAACAGACAGACUUCAAGGCCCUGACAACCAUGUGAGGCCUUGUGCAACAAUGUGGAUACAUGUGACACAGAAAUAGAUCUGUGACAGUGUGGUAGGCUGUGUGAGACCUCAUAUGACCAUGGGUUAAUGUAGCCAUGCUUUGGGAUAUUUUGUGACCCUGCAUGUGUAAUCCUCUGACAUUGUACAAUCCUGUAGCAGACCCAAGUGUGAUAUCAGGUUGUACAACUGAAUGUGUGACAUUGGACAAUUCUGUGUGUGACAUUGGAUAUGCAACACUGAUAUUAUAUGGCAUGCAUGACCCUGUGACAGGACACUGGGUGAUUCUAUAUGGUUUGUGACAUGGUGUCUGUGUAACCAUCAUGGGUGUGGCCCUGAGACUGACACCAGGGAUUCUAUGUGAGUGUAUGAUGCCAGCUUGUGAC